GACGAACGCUGGCGGCGUGCUUAACACAUGCAAGUCGAACGGAAAGGCCCUGCUUUUGUGGGGUGCUCGAGUGGCGAACGGGUGAGUAACACGUGAGUAACCUGCCCUUGACUUUGGGAUAACUUCAGGAAACUGGGGCUAAUACCGGAUAGGAGCUCCUGCUGCAUGGUGGGGGUUGGAAAGUUUCGGCGGUUGGGGAUGGACUCGCGGCUUAUCAGCUUGUUGGUGGGGUAGUGGCUUACCAAGGCUUUGACGGGUAGCCGGCCUGAGAGGGUGACCGGCCACAUUGGGACUGCGAUACGGCCCAGACUCCUACGGGAGGCAGCAGUGGGGAAUAUUGCACAAUGGGCGGAAGCCUGCUGCAGCACCGCCGCGUGCGGGAUGACGGCCUUCGGGUUGUCAACCGCUUUCGCCUGUGACGAAGCGUGAGUGACGGUAAUGGGUAAAGAAGCACCGGCUAACUACGUG
RNAcentral lists this ribosomal RNA (468 nucleotides) under uncultured bacterium. RNAcentral's name for it is "partial 16S ribosomal RNA". It matches the Rfam family "Bacterial small subunit ribosomal RNA", at positions 28 to 507 of the family's 1533-position model. The record is from RNAcentral.